Acanthosepion pharaonis is the source of this 100-nucleotide non-coding RNA. NCBI's taxonomy places the organism in Eukaryota, Metazoa, Mollusca, Cephalopoda, Sepiida, Sepiidae. The record is from the annotation of a GenBank genome assembly.
CGUUGAAACACCGAUUCCCGUACGAUUACUGAGGUUAAGCAACGCCGAGCUUGGUCACUACCUAGAUGGGUGACCGCUUAAGAAUACCCGGUGCUGUAAG